UACAGAGGGGGCAAGCGUUAUUCGGAAUUAUUGGGCGUAAAGGGCGCGUAGGCGGCCUGGCAAGUGGAAGGUGAAAUCCCUCGGCUCAACUGAGGAACUGCCUUUGAAACUGUCGUGCUUGAGGCCGGGAGGGGUAGCGGAAUUCCCAGUGUAGCGGUGAAAUGCGUAGAUAUUGGGAGGAACACCAGUGGCGAAGGCGGCUACCUGGACCGGUUCUGACGCUGAUGCGCGAAAGCGUGGGGAGCAAACAGG
This 252-nucleotide ribosomal RNA is filed under the name uncultured bacterium. Its description in RNAcentral is "partial 16S ribosomal RNA". It matches the Rfam family "Bacterial small subunit ribosomal RNA", at positions 524 to 776 of the family's 1533-position model. The record is from RNAcentral.